GUAGCACCAUGGUUUGAGCAUUAGUCUCUGAUUCUAGAAGACCAAGGUUCAAAUCCUUGC
Molecule: transfer RNA, 60 nt
Filed under: Anolis carolinensis (green anole)
Lineage: Eukaryota; Metazoa; Chordata; Lepidosauria; Squamata; Anolidae
Source: Rfam by way of RNAcentral